Molecule: ribosomal RNA, 254 nt
Filed under: uncultured bacterium
Lineage: Bacteria
Description: partial 16S ribosomal RNA
Rfam family: Bacterial small subunit ribosomal RNA
Source: RNAcentral
UACGUAGGGUGCGAGCGUUAAUCGGAAUUACUGGGCGUAAAGCGUGCGCAGGCGGUGAUGUAAGACAGAUGUGAAAUCCCCGGGCUUAACCUGGGAACUGCAUUGGUGACUGGCAGGCUUUGAGUGUGGCAGAGGGAGGUAGAAUUCCACGUGUAGCAGUGAAAUGCGUAGAGAUGUGGAGGAAUACCGAUGGCGAAGGCAGCCUCCUGGGCCAACACUGACGCUCAUGCACGAAAGCGUGGGGAGCAAACAGG